This 1427-nucleotide ribosomal RNA is filed under the name Lactiplantibacillus plantarum. Its description in RNAcentral is "bacterial SSU rRNA". It matches the Rfam family "Bacterial small subunit ribosomal RNA". The record is from RNAcentral. Lineage: Bacteria; Bacillati; Bacillota; Bacilli; Lactobacillales; Lactobacillaceae.
AAUACAUGCAAGUCGAACGAACUCUGGUAUUGAUUGGUGCUUGCAUCAUGAUUUACAUUUGAGUGAGUGGCGAACUGGUGAGUAACACGUGGGAAACCUGCCCAGAAGCGGGGGAUAACACCUGGAAACAGAUGCUAAUACCGCAUAACAACUUGGACCGCAUGGUCCGAGUUUGAAAGAUGGCUUCGGCUAUCACUUUUGGAUGGUCCCGCGGCGUAUUAGCUAGAUGGUGAGGUAACGGCUCACCAUGGCAAUGAUACGUAGCCGACCUGAGAGGGUAAUCGGCCACAUUGGGACUGAGACACGGCCCAAACUCCUACGGGAGGCAGCAGUAGGGAAUCUUCCACAAUGGACGAAAGUCUGAUGGAGCAACGCCGCGUGAGUGAAGAAGGGUUUCGGCUCGUAAAACUCUGUUGUUAAAGAAGAACAUAUCUGAGAGUAACUGUUCAGGUAUUGACGGUAUUUAACCAGAAAGCCACGGCUAACUACGUGCCAGCAGCCGCGGUAAUACGUAGGUGGCAAGCGUUGUCCGGAUUUAUUGGGCGUAAAGCGAGCGCAGGCGGUUUUUUAAGUCUGAUGUGAAAGCCUUCGGCUCAACCGAAGAAGUGCAUCGGAAACUGGGAAACUUGAGUGCAGAAGAGGACAGUGGAACUCCAUGUGUAGCGGUGAAAUGCGUAGAUAUAUGGAAGAACACCAGUGGCGAAGGCGGCUGUCUGGUCUGUAACUGACGCUGAGGCUCGAAAGUAUGGGUAGCAAACAGGAUUAGAUACCCUGGUAGUCCAUACCGUAAACGAUGAAUGCUAAGUGUUGGAGGGUUUCCGCCCUUCAGUGCUGCAGCUAACGCAUUAAGCAUUCCGCCUGGGGAGUACGGCCGCAAGGCUGAAACUCAAAGGAAUUGACGGGGGCCCGCACAAGCGGUGGAGCAUGUGGUUUAAUUCGAAGCUACGCGAAGAACCUUACCAGGUCUUGACAUACUAUGCAAAUCUAAGAGAUUAGACGUUCCCUUCGGGGACAUGGAUACAGGUGGUGCAUGGUUGUCGUCAGCUCGUGUCGUGAGAUGUUGGGUUAAGUCCCGCAACGAGCGCAACCCUUAUUAUCAGUUGCCAGCAUUAAGUUGGGCACUCUGGUGAGACUGCCGGUGACAAACCGGAGGAAGGUGGGGAUGACGUCAAAUCAUCAUGCCCCUUAUGACCUGGGCUACACACGUGCUACAAUGGAUGGUACAACGAGUUGCGAACUCGCGAGAGUAAGCUAAUCUCUUAAAGCCAUUCUCAGUUCGGAUUGUAGGCUGCAACUCGCCUACAUGAAGUCGGAAUCGCUAGUAAUCGCGGAUCAGCAUGCCGCGGUGAAUACGUUCCCGGGCCUUGUACACACCGCCCGUCACACCAUGAGAGUUUGUAACACCCAAAGUCGGUGGGGUAACCUUU